GAUUAUCAUGUUGAAGAGUUUGUAAAUGAACUACAUUUAGUUGACUGAUGUUGAAAGUGAAAGUACAACAGUAAACCUCCGAUUAUGAAUAGGUAGUUUACAGUUACUUAAAAGUAAAUCUAAUUAUAUUGAAUAGGCUUAAUUUAGAAACGAAACUUGUAGUUGUACUAAAUUUAAUGACAAACCGUGUAAUGUCACGGUUGACUGAUGAUGAAAUGUUUGAAUAUCGAAAAUACGUUGUCUCGAGAAGAACUGGACAAGAUGUAAUCAAAUCUGAACGAUUUGCUCAUAGAAGAUCGGGCUUACACACAGAAGCAAGAACCACAAGAUUUAUAAAGAAAGACAAUUUGAGGAAUUCUGUCAAGGCAUAUAUUUAGGAAAACAUUUUGGUUUUUACAUUGUAUUGAGAAGAAAUGUUAGCGAUAGCAAAUAUUUAGAUGUGGAUGGUUCCAUUCCACGUGUUCAUGGUAGAGUUGGUAAACCUCCAUCGCCUAGUUUGUCCUACACAGAGAAUGCAAAAAAAAAAAUAUUGUCAUGCUAGAGAAAAUGCUCCACCAUUUCUAGGAAGGUUAGCUAACCUCUGUCCCCACAAAAUAAUCUCAUAGAUCUAUGUCAGAAGAGUCAAGAGUUUUCAAACCUACUUGCAAAAAGUGGAAGUUUGUUAAUGGAAGGGAAAACCAGUGUACUGUACUUGAGGUAUACAAUGCACACAUUCAGCUAGCCGACGAACAGAGGGGCCGAUAUAGACUGCAGUGUACAAAAAGCAAAGAGAAAUACAUGCAUUCUUUAUUAAACAAGGAAAUGAAAAGACAAGGUAUAAUCAUUAUGUCUGUGGAAGUUCCAUUAUUCUUGGGAUUUAUGCCCAGCAACACAUACCAAUCAUGCCCAGCAUGUGGGACCUCCUUACUUUACUUCAGGACACCUAGGGAAUGUUGUGUUUUUUGGCAUGUGCUCUGAAAGUUCAGCAUGUUUAGGAAAGAAGAUAUUUUAAUUGGUGGAAGAAGGAGAGACAAAUUGCAAGGGAGCAAACAGUAUAAUAGUUAAUAUGGAACAUUACUAUUUCGCGUACUAUGUCUAUGGUGAAGAAGGAGAUUUCACUUGGACAA
Saccostrea echinata is the source of this 1106-nucleotide long non-coding RNA. RefSeq lists it as uncharacterized. The record is from RefSeq and is a predicted model, not a curated record. NCBI's taxonomy places the organism in Eukaryota, Metazoa, Mollusca, Bivalvia, Ostreida, Ostreidae. The transcript has 3 exons.